AGGGAUGCUGCAUUUUAAUGAUAGCACAGACUGAGGCUGCAGUAGACAGAGCAAUGAGAGAGGUUAAAAUAAAAAGGGAGGAGCAGUGCAGAGCACGACAGGAUUCCCACACAGAUUGUCACAAGUGUGUACGUGGAACAACAAGCAGUGGAGUUUAAAGACAAGAGGAAUGAAACAGGUUUGCAUUGGAGAACACAACAAGUGACUAGAGUUUUCACCUGUAGAAGGAGGAGAAAAUAAGCCACUUGUAAUCAAACUAAGCUGAUUGGCAAAAACAUGGGCAUGGAAAUUAAACAAGUACAAACUUCUGUCGUUAUUAGAUAAAAAGUGGCUCUCUUUCCAUUUCGUCUUUCUGCUUGACUGUCUAUCCACAGGCUGUCCUUCUGUUAGUCUCAGCAGGAUGUGAGGGCAUCACUCUGGUGCUUGAGAUAAAGAAGAAAUACUGAAGGAAUCCUGACGGGUUGUUGGAGAAACGAGGCAUUGCCAAAAAAAAAAAAAAAAAAAAAAAAAGAAGACAAGAGGAACAUUAGCUAGCUUCUGGAAGGAAAAGGGAGGAGAGAGGGGGCAGUAUGACUCAGACCACAGCAGCGAGAAUACUGUGUAUUCUGCAUGCAAGAAGAGAGGUUGAGUGAGAUAGAGGAACAAUGAGGGAAAAUAUGGGGGGAAAAAAAGGAGGACUUGACCAGAACUGAGCUGUCAUUUGACAGAUGAAGGACAGGGUGAGGACAGAAGCUGCCACACUGGCAGGCAGUGAGUAAGAUAUAGGUCAAGUGAAUCAGCUUGGUAGAUGAAAAAGAAAGUAAGAAGAGGGUGAGUUUUAUAAAGUUAAGUAUUUCAUAUGACUGAAGCUGGCUGAGGGAAGGUUGAAUGAAGGUUUGCUGCCGGGCGGACAGUGGACGAGGAGCUGCAAAGGUCAGAAUGGCUGGCUUGAUGAACAAUUGAUGGAGCUCAUACAUGUGAGAAAGUCCGGACUGUGUCACAGGGAUGGAGCAUGACUGAGGUUUGCAUGUGGGAGAAGAAACUUCAAGAAGGCUGGACAAAGGAGACAAAGAGAAAUGGUAGAGUAGAAAGGUUAAAAAGAAACCAAAAUUGGAAUGUAGGUGUAUGAAUGAAAUAGAUCAGAAUGAAUUUUUAAAUCUCAGGAAGAAAUCCAAGAAAUAGUUAAACAUAGUUAAAAAAAAAAAAAACAAAACAAAAAAAAACAACUGCAGAGAAUCAACACAGUAUUAUGGAGAAAUGGAAGGCAUAAUCGUGACAGAAACAUACCAAGAGGUUCUUGCUAAAUAUUAAUGCUGACAGCCCAUUCUGGAAAGAACUUUUCCCUCCUUCUACUGAGGGGAAAACUGGAAAUGCGCAGCUGAUUCUCUAUUCUAGCGGAUAUUUUACAGCGGAGAGGACAAAGGAUCGUUCAACUGGGAGGGACAUGCAUACUUUGUUUUUGCUUCCAUAACUUGAUGAAGUCACGAUGGCUUCUAAUGUCACAAAGACAUCAAGUUAGAAGCUGCUUUAUUCCUAACUUAGACCAACAAUUCCUCAAAGCAAUAACGGGGGACGACAAUCCAGCUGCAGAAUAGACCAGCUGUGUGUUCAUGCAGGGCAGCGUAGGGAGGGGGUGUGAGUACUGUCGAGGAUGUCAACCGUGUUUGCGCGUGUGCUUGUGUGGGUAUAGAUGUGCAUGUGUGUUUGCGUCGAGCUUUGAACGCAGUAGUGUCUGAGUAAAUUAUCAUAGAGACACCCAGCGCGCUGUGUGUCGCCUGGAUUCCCCCCUCCACCAGCGACAGAGCUGGACCUGAACAGCAGUGGUAAGACGGGGGACAGGGGGGGGGAAGAGGAGGAAAAGGAGAAAGAGGUGAAAGAAACCAGAAGGAAAAAGGAGAAGAAAAUACUUAAAACAUGCUUGGAUAAAGAGAAGAAAAAAGGAGUCUUUGGCUGCCCCCCUGAUGCGAUGUGUGGCGUCGUGCCCUGCGGGGGUGGGGUUCUGUGAUGGUAACCAUGGUCCCCGGCAGCCGCUAUGUAUGCAGCGCUCAUGCGAGAGAAGAUGACUCUACCAAUGACCGUGAGGAGCGAAUUUUAGCUGUCCUGGGUAUCAUUGGAACCAUCCUCAAUCUUUUGGUGGUCAUAUUUGUCUACAUCUACACCUCCGUCACCUAAGGUUUUCUACAAGUCUCAAGUAGUGAACUUCUCCUCUGACUGCCACCUUUCCUUUUUAAGGAUUUAUAUACUUAAAGUGCUUUGAUUAUUUACAAAAAGCACUGAAUUGUGAUGAUCACUAAUAGCGCAUUUGACUGAACAAUGGUGACAUUUAUCUACACCCGCAUUACUGCCACUCUGUUACCUAAAAAGUAGAACAGAAGCACAAGUGGAAUCAUCUGAAUUUCCAGCACUACUCAGUAAACAGUAUCUUUCCAUUUUUCCACUUGUAAAAUUAAGUUAUAUUGUUAUUCAUAUUGAUGCAGCCGAUAUAGAACACAUAACGCUCCUUAAUAUGAUAGUGGCCAUAUUUGACUGUGUUGCAUCCUCAAUUGUUUCAACUUUGUGAUUGUGCAUAAUUUCAGCUUUAUUUGAGCUAAUUUUACUGCCAAUUAAAUUGAUCAAAGUGGUUGAACAAACAACAAACUUUGGAGCCAACUGGAGUAAAUUUGCUAAGUACAAUACUAAAUCCAUAACACUGGACCAAAAGAGCUAAGUAACUUAGCACAGUCGACAACAAUGAGACCUUUAGGUCUAAUGACUGCCUUAAAAACUUGAAGAAAUACAAAUAAUCAAUGUAAAGUAUUAAUUUUUGUUUUUAGUAGAAUUUCUCAUUUGUUCUGUUUUUACAUGGAACUAACGUGUCCACAGCUGAGCACUCCAGAGGAGAGAUUCCUGGCUGUGCUAGGAGUCAUCGGCAUUGUACUUAACCUCCUGCUGCUUGUCUUCGUCUAUAUAUACACCUCCAUCUGAUGGAGCUACAUCUUCAAAUCUGAGUCCUUCUUCACUUGGGAAGUUAUCAGAUAAUUACCAGCUCUAUAUAACUGCCCAUUGUACUAAUCAUCGUCUCAAACUACAUGGUUUGCUACUUGUACAUAUGGGCACAUUCUUUUAGUAAUAGACAGUUUAUAUUAAGCUUACACUGUGAGGUAAACUGAGAUGGCACCUGUGCUUGAUAUCAUGGUAGUAAUGUGAAGAUGGCUGAUGAGCGAGUUUGAAGAUAAAAGUCAAUGAGCUUAAGAUGAUACACACUUUCCAUAAUGCACUUCUCUGUAUAAAUUUAUGACAUAUUAUUAAUGGUUUUAUAACAUGCUCCAGUAUUCCAUGUGAUCUAAGGCUUGUACCACUUAAGUGAAAAGAACUACAUAUUGAACAAAAUAACUCAAGUAAAUGCUGUGAUAUUUGUUGGGAUCAUGUUUGUUCUCCAUGCUUGAUACUGAAAACACAGGAACAUGAAGCUGGAUGGAUCUGUUAGUUCAGCCUGUGCAGAAUCUCUGUACAACAGCAAAGAUCUAUCUGUGUAUGCUUGCUGCUGUGGAGUAAUGGCGUAUUUUCUGGUGUCAUGUUUCUUUGAUUGGAUGUGGGAGCCAGGCACAGAGCAGCGUCAGAGAAAGCAAAGCUUAAAACUGAGACAAUAUCAUGCAGAUCGAGACGGUGCAUUUUGCACAAGCAAGCCAAACAGCUGUGACAAAGCGAUCAAAGAGGAACGGUGUGCAUCGUCAGUAAAAGCAGGACAGAAAAACUUUCUGAAGAGCCACGCCAUCUGGCUCGAAAAUCACAAGGGUGCAAAGAGCUCCCUGCAGUUUGAUUACAACAUGUCCACUGAAGCGACAUGCCAAUAUGGAUACGAUUUUAGGUUUAAGCACUCUAUCUUUAUUGGAGGAGCAAAUCCACACACAGCUGACAUGCGAGCAGGAAGGACUGGGCUAAAUCUGCACCUUAUUCUCGUCAUUCUCUUCUCCACCAACAAGCUAACACCAGAGAAGACAUAGUAGCAUAUACGUCUCUGCUGCCAUUUUACAUACUGUAACACAGGGACAGCUUCAAAACAAGAAAGCAGAAACACUGACUGCUCACUUAUUCUUCUCAACUUUACAUGUUGGCUUGUGUGGAAAAGUGUUUUGAUAAUUAUUGUAUUUCAAUUCUUGCUAGCUUGUGUAUGUCAUGCUCUUUAGUUUUCGUAAGAAUUUCUUCUUGGAUUUUUGGUUUGCAAACAAACACAAAAAGCCACAAACACUGCUUUGGAAAAUAUUUGGUUAAUCUCAGUUUCUCUGUUUUUAUUUUUUAUAAAUGGUGACAGCUCAGGCAAGUACAACCAUGUCUGUGGAAUAAUGUGUUUAUUAGUGGCCGGCUUUGCCUGUGUUAAGAUUUACAAAGAAUAUUGGUUGUUUAGAUGGGUUUGAAAACAGCAAGGAUUAUUAAUCCAUUUUAGAAAUUUGCAUUUCCCUUACACUCUUAAAUUACUUGCAGAAGAACACUUUCACCCUACCACCCUCAGGAAAAUACUCACAGAUUAACUGGAUUUGCAUUUCCUUAAUCCAUCACCACAUGUUGAUUUAAUCCCAUGUAACAAAAGACUUGUUCACAAUCUGUUUAUCUUCCUGUUCAAUAUGAAACCACUUCUCCCUUCAUUUUCCAAAAAAAUGUGUCCUUCCUAGAAAUAAAACUUAAAUUAGUCCCUGCAAUGAAAGGAUGCAAAUGCUCACACACUGGCUACUUGUAUCUUCUAUCAAGAGUUUAAUUUGAUGCCAUAUUUCAAGACACAUCAUGCCCCUUUUUCUUUCCAGUCACACUUAAUUGAAUUUAUAGAAAAUUCUUGAAAUAAUUUCAAGAUUGUAACAAGCUCAUUGAACCACUUUUCAUGUUUCAGACACCUGCGACUGUCUUACAGUGAUCCAUCCAGAAGUACUUUGGUUUACAAAUACAGGGUGAAAAUUUUAGAUGUUUUUCUUUUUAAAAAAUAAAAUAAAAUAAAUACUGCCUUGAGAUGUUAGCAAAGCACAGUUAGGAAGCUGUUACCCAUUUAUUAAUUUCUCUUUGGGUCAACCAGAAAAAUAUUUUUGGUGAAAUCAAAGAUAUGUUUUCCAAGAGUGACCUUACCAAUAAGGCAGCAUUUAGGUAAAGGGAAAAGUUUUAAUGUUGUUUCUUAUUAUUAACCAUUUGCUCGUUUUAUUUGUUUUAUUGAUUAUGACAAAAAAUAUGUUAAAAGUUGAUUAACUGUAUAAACAUGCUUGAAAGUUAAUUUAAUUAGUUAAUCUAAAAAUAAGAACAAAGUGUCACCACAACAGUUUUCAGUUUAACUAAGUUUUUAUCUUUACAGGACAUAAAGUGGUAAAUUCACUGACUUCCCUCCUACACACAAAUCCUUGUUUGGAAUCUAACCUUUUUAUGUAAUCAUGUAUUAUGCAAAUAACUGGACUGACACACAAAAAGAUGUAAAGUAGUUAUUUGCCAAUAGUUAAUUACUGUUCCAAUAUGGAACUGCUUUUAGCUCCCCAUGCAAAAAUGAAAUUGUUUUUCAAGAAAACCAAGAGGCUGAUGGACACAGCCAUUGUUAGAUUAUACACCAUAUAUACUUUAUUAAAUGAAAAACAUCAAUUUAAAAAAAAAAGUAUUGAAGUAUUAAAUAUACACACACAUAUACACCCCUCCUUGGCCAUAAUAAAUCCCUUUACCUGCAUAUGUGGCAGCAUAGCUCCAUCCAGAGGAAAAGGAUGUGAAAGAUGCUGGCAGACUUUUUUUUUAAAAGAAAAAUCUCUGUUAGUGUUACCCAUCACUUUGUAUUCAUUCCUAGAAAACAGGACCAGCAAUUCAAAAACAGGUUUCAAAAGGAGAAAAUGUUUUGUAUGACUUUGAUUUACUGACAGAAGCUGCUGCUGAUCAAGCAAACUCUAGAUUCAGGAUGUCAAAUGUCAGAAAAUGACUAAUCAUUGUUCAUGUUUGCUUCUAUCUGUAGGCAACAAAACUUAUUCUGUCAU
This is a long non-coding RNA of Melanotaenia boesemani (Boeseman's rainbowfish), 5948 nucleotides long. RefSeq lists it as uncharacterized. The transcript has 3 exons. The record is from RefSeq and is a predicted model, not a curated record. NCBI's taxonomy places the organism in Eukaryota, Metazoa, Chordata, Actinopteri, Atheriniformes, Melanotaeniidae.